UACGUAGGGUGCAAGCGUUGUCCGGAAUUAUUGGGCGUAAAGAGCUCGUAGGCGGUUUGUCGCGUCGGCUGUGAAAACCUGGGGCUCAACCCCGGGUCUGCAGUCGAUACGGGCGGACUGGAGUUCGGCAGGGGAGACUGGAAUUCCUGGUGUAGCGGUGAAAUGCGCAGAUAUCAGGAGGAACACCGGUGGCGAAGGCGGGUCUCUGGGCCGAUACUGACGCUGAGGAGCGAAAGCGUGGGGAGCGAACAGG
RNAcentral lists this ribosomal RNA (253 nucleotides) under uncultured bacterium. RNAcentral describes it as "partial 16S ribosomal RNA". It matches the Rfam family "Bacterial small subunit ribosomal RNA", at positions 524 to 776 of the family's 1533-position model. The record is from RNAcentral.